CUUGGCACGACCCAGGUUCCACGCUACAGGCCUCUACUUGUCCAGACCUGAGGGUCAGAUUCAGAUGGUGCAAAUGUUUAAGACCUGGGUCUUCACCCAGAUGAAUUAUCAGCUAUUUCUUAGCUGCAGUGUUGGAUAUGCCCAGACGAUAAAAGCAACAGCAAUCAGAAUCAACAGUUGAAACGACAUGGCAGACACUGUGAAUGCUAUGAACUGCUGUGCUGAGCAGCAGGAUUCCUGUGAUCUGGCGCAAUGCCCAUGGGGAUUCAUGCUUUCAGAGGGUCACGCCUCAGGAACAUGCAGAAGGGCAAGCAUUUCAUCCGGCAGGGCACUGAUUUAAUCUGCACGCAUGUUUGGCUGUAAAACUAGCUCCUCCCCCUUACCAUUUUUGAGUCGCUGCCGGACUCAAAUUCCACAGAUUUUGGAAGGUGUCCAGGAACUCGUUGAUUACUCAAACUUAUGGCUACACACAGCUGGAAUGGAGACGGACUCCACUGAGGAGACUCACACAGGACAGGAGGGAAUUUUAGGAGGAUAACCCUGAGAUUGAAAACAUCAAACCAAACCUGAAGCACUGAGAGGUUGGGUAACCAGCUCUGGUCACUGAGUUGGUGAGGGAUGGAUUCAGAAGAGGUCUCCAAUUGUGACACCGCAGAGGACCUGCUCUUGGCCACCACACUCUGCCAGCUCUGCAAGAAGCACUUCCACACUUUUCAUCUCAGAGCCACGGAGCCUAUGUGUGUGGCUGAGGUGCUCAGACUGGCAGGUGAAAUGACUUCAUUAGUGCCCU
Molecule: non-coding RNA, 790 nt
Filed under: Pongo abelii (Sumatran orangutan)
Lineage: Eukaryota; Metazoa; Chordata; Mammalia; Primates; Hominidae
Source: RNAcentral